AUCUAGAUGACGUGUCCCAAAUAGGACGAGAUGCACACCCUGGAU
This is a non-coding RNA of Schistosoma mansoni, 45 nucleotides long. The record is from Rfam. Lineage: Eukaryota; Metazoa; Platyhelminthes; Trematoda; Strigeidida; Schistosomatidae.